Apiotrichum porosum is the source of this 87-nucleotide non-coding RNA. NCBI's taxonomy places the organism in Eukaryota, Fungi, Basidiomycota, Tremellomycetes, Trichosporonales, Trichosporonaceae. The record is from the annotation of a RefSeq genome assembly.
GGGCGUGUAGCUCAGUUGGUAGAGCGUGUCAUUAGCAUCUUCUACCCCUACUUGACAAGGUCUUUGGUUCGAUUCCUAACUCGUCCA